Momordica charantia (bitter melon) is the source of this 662-nucleotide non-coding RNA. NCBI's taxonomy places the organism in Eukaryota, Viridiplantae, Streptophyta, Magnoliopsida, Cucurbitales, Cucurbitaceae. The record is from RefSeq and is a predicted model, not a curated record.
UUUGUUUUGUUUUCUUUUUCUUUUUCCCUCAUUCACGUAAAACCCCUUUCCCCUCAACCUUCUUCUUCUUACUUCUUUUUCUUUGCCCAGUCGUCAGCCUCCCUGACAGUACCCGACGACACACUCUAGUGGACGACGGUGCAACAGGCAUCUCGGCGGCAACGGAGUUCCGCUCCAUUUCGCGGUGUUUCGAGGUGGGCGCGGCGGUCUGUGGUGUUGAGCGACGUCUCGAGGGUUUGGUGGCGGCCAAUGAUCCAUCUCAACUCAGUAUGGGAGACCCCCACACCCUUGUGGCAAUGAUUAGGGCUGUAAGGACGUUUUCGGUAAGGAUUGGAGUUACAACCAUGGUGGUGAUGUGGGGAAGACUCGACUGAGGAAGGACCACUAGGCUGCAUUGCACUCGUUUUCUUUUUCUGUUAGGAUAGUCGUAUUUCCUUUUUACUUAUGGAUGUACCAGUUUGGUGAUGUUUAGGGAUGGCUUGGUGGGUGCUGUCUGAUGGGUCUGAACAUUUUUAGCUCCUAGAGUAGAUGUUAUCUUUGUGCACUUAGACUUGUAACGAGUAUUGACUACUGUUUAAAAUAGGAUUAAACAUGAAUUUAUGUUUGUUUAGCCCAUGGAGGGCGAGUUGAUUCUUUGGUUAUUGGAAUAAUUUUGGACCUUA